Long non-coding RNA from Oenanthe melanoleuca, 1497 nucleotides. RefSeq lists it as uncharacterized. The transcript is spliced from 4 exons. The record is from RefSeq and is a predicted model, not a curated record. Lineage: Eukaryota; Metazoa; Chordata; Aves; Passeriformes; Muscicapidae.
GCGCCGCCCCCCCGCCCUCGCACCGCUUUGAGGUCCAGCACGCCGUCCUUGGCCUCCUGCAGCAGCGACACGAACUUGGUGGCCAGGCACAGGACACGCUGGCCAGGGGCACAGGGCACAGUUACCAUCGACUAAAGGCAGAGAAGCUUUAAAGUCCGUACUGCAUGAGAAUUCCGGGGAUGCACGUAAAGAAGAGCAGAGCCGAGGCACCCAUCCCACAGGAGCUCCGUACCCUGGGAGUGCACACGGGAGCUGUUCCUGCACGCGGACAGCACGUUCGGGACAACGUGCGCGGAAACUCGCUCUCUCUGCACCUGCAUCACAGUCCUCCUGGUCUCAAGUAACAAGAAUUUCUUGAUUCCGUACUCGGUGUUGAUUGAAACAGAUAAUUCUCUAGUCGGGAAAUGCAAACAAAGUCUAACAAAGGGAUUGAUUUUAAAUUGUCAUGAUUAAUGCACGAGAACGUGCCUUGCAUCUGACAGGGUAUUCAAUUGCUUCACCCGAAGUGUAGCUUGGUCAAAUAAUAAGCAAAGAACAAAGAAGUGCCCCAGGAAACACUUGAUCAACAUGACAGAAAAGCACUCUGAAGUGGUGUGAGUUUUCUGCACCAAUGAUGUCCAUGAAAGUACUAUUGAACAGCAUUCCAGGUGCAAGAGUUCUUCCUGAUGUGCUGCCAACACUGACUCAAGUUGUUUUCUGAAAGCAUUAUCCAUUUUAUGAAGCUUUUCCACAGCAAUCCUAAAAAAAGAUUGAAAAAAAAAUUACAGUCCUGAAAACAGUUGAAGUAUUUUGCUUUGUCCAACUCUGCCUUAGAUAAGGUUUUAAUAACUUAAGCAUGAAGACACAUAUAUUGGCAGAAGUGUUCUGUUUUCUCAAGCACAUGUUCUAGCUUUAUGCAGUGUGUUCAGAACUUCUGGCAUUGUCUUAGAACAGGCAUUUAAUCACUAGCAAAGGAUAGGAAGAUUAGGGCUUGCUACUGUCAACAUGGCUGAGAACUCCACCUGUUUUCAAACAUCUCCUUACUAUGCUUUUGGUUUCCAAGAAGUGAAUGAACUGUGUGAUUCUGUGAAUGACCUGUGAGCCUGUGUCUCACAGAAAUAGAAAAGUGUCUCCUUCACCGCAAAGAAGCAUUUCUUUAACUCCAAGAAAAUUCUGCUUUUAGGGGAUAAUUCUUACAUAUGUAGGAACAACAAACAAGGCAAAUUUAUACAAUUAAUUUACAACAAAAUUCUGAAACAAACCAGAAUUAUUUAGAACAAAAAUUUCAGUUUCACUAUUGAUCUUCUAACAAUACCUAACCCCAAUACUAUUGACCAUUUGAGGUGGUUUGUUUUGUUUGGCUUUUUUGCUAUUGUUAUUUGUUGUGGUUCUGUUUUUUUCUUUUUAUGUAGUCUUAUUAACUAGCUGGUAUCUUCUCAAGAAUAGUUAGGAGGAUGCAAGAAAAACAUGAGAAGGGGGCCAAAGAAUAAAAUAAAAAUGACAGUAAGAAUCUAAACU